RNAcentral lists this ribosomal RNA (216 nucleotides) under Glomeromycotina sp. RNAcentral's name for it is "partial small subunit ribosomal RNA". The stretch from base 40 to 216 matches the Rfam family "Eukaryotic small subunit ribosomal RNA", at positions 686 to 864 of the family's 1831-position model. The record is from RNAcentral. Lineage: Eukaryota; Fungi; Glomeromycota.
GGGUCAGUAGGUUGGUCGUGCCACCGGUACGUACUGGUCUCACUGAUUCCUCCUUCCUGAAGAACCGUAAUGCCAUUAAUUUGGUGUUGCGGGGAAACAGGACUUUUACUUUGAAAAAAUUAGAGUGUUUAAAGCAAGCUAACGCUUGAAUACAUUAGCACGGAAUAAUGAAAUAGGGCGAUCGAUCCUAUUUUGUUGGUUUCUAGGAUUGACGUA